AUUGAACGCUGGCGGCAUGCUUUACACAUGCAAGUCGAACGGGGUGAGGAGCUUGCUCCUCAUCUAGUGGCGAACGGGUGAGUAAUACAUCGGAACGUACCGUGUAGUGGGGGAUAACGUAGCGAAAGUUACGCUAAUACCGCAUACGAUCCACGGAUGAAAGCAGGGGACCUUCGGGCCUUGUGCUAUACGAGCGGCCGAUGUCUGAUUAGCUAGUUGGUGGGGUAAAGGCCCACCAAGGCAACGAUCAGUAGCGGGUCUGAGAGGAUGAUCCGCCACACUGGGACUGAGACACGGCCCAGACUCCUACGGGAGGCAGCAGUGGGGAAUUUUGGACAAUGGGCGCAAGCCUGAUCCAGCCAUGCCGCGUGUCUGAAGAAGGCC
Molecule: ribosomal RNA, 384 nt
Filed under: uncultured bacterium
Lineage: Bacteria
Description: bacterial SSU rRNA
Rfam family: Bacterial small subunit ribosomal RNA
Source: RNAcentral